GCUGAACUUAAGCAUAUCACUAAGCGGAGGAAAA
This 34-nucleotide ribosomal RNA is filed under the name Saccocoelium tensum. RNAcentral's name for it is "partial 28S ribosomal RNA". The record is from RNAcentral. Lineage: Eukaryota; Metazoa; Platyhelminthes; Trematoda; Plagiorchiida; Haploporidae.